ACUUUAGUAUUGAUCCCAAUCCACAUGUAUUGAGGUGGAUUGGGGUGUAAUUUAAACUAAUUUACACCCCAAUUCACUCCAGCACAUGUGGAUUGUAGUCAAUACUAGA
Zea mays is the source of this 109-nucleotide non-coding RNA. The record is from Rfam. Lineage: Eukaryota; Viridiplantae; Streptophyta; Magnoliopsida; Poales; Poaceae.